GCAAGUGUGACCAUGUCAGGGAUCUAAAACACAGACCAACAAAAGCUCCCUCAGAAUGGAGCUGUUGGUGAGCCUGGCAGACUCAGCUGCUUCUCUUCAGCUGUGCCUAUCUAUGUGCUGCUCUCUCGGGUAGAUGCUACCACAGUGCCCUUCCCAGAGUCAUAGAGCAAGAAUGACCAGCCACAUCACCACCUGUGGAUUCUCCUGCACCCUCACCUGGCUACAUUCUUGCAGCCUUCAGCACGCAUUCCUGAAGUGGACUGAGAGGAGUGGGCCCAUGUGCCCAUGGAGAAUGACACACAAAUGCUCAGGCCAUGCUCUCCUGUGGCUUCUUCAUCUGCCGAGUAGUUUGUGACUGGCUGUUAAACUCUCCUUAAGAGGCUGCUGGAUGCUGCUAUGGAAAUUCUCUCUGCUACAAGCUGAGUGAGCAGAGUGCUUCCCUCAGCUGCUCCCUCCCACGGGGACCACUGUCCAAGGGUGCGUGCUGUCUAGUGCUUGAAACAUGGGUGCCUGCGCUUUGCCUGGUUCUGGUUUUCUUAAGGCAGGAGGAUAAACUGGCAACUGUUCUUUCAUGUUCGCUGGACACAGAUAUGAUCCAUCACCCAGUUUUUAAAGCCCUGUAAGGAAAGGCCGUGGAAGACUUUGAGGACGGAGCUUGGCACCUGUUUAGCUCACCUCUUGCUAUCUCACCUUUGCUAUCUGUGAACUGUCUGAGCACAAGCUGCAAGCUCAUUCAUGCUUCCCUCCAAUGAGGGUGAGGAACCAGGGCCUGGCCAAACAGUCAGUGGAGAGUGAGGACAAGUACGUGACACCAGCAAGACCCCUCAGAUCAGCACUGAGAGCCUGCCUGAGAAGGCAAGGACCCAGAUGAAAUUAAUCAGAUAGACACAGCGCAAGCCAGACCUAGCUCGAGUCACACAGCUCCUGUACUGGCUUUCUCUGGUGGGAACCAAAGAGCCAAGUGUCAAUCACUGGGAGAUGAUAACAACUGCUUCCUAGGACUGACCUAGUGACAGCCAUUCCUGCGCUCCACGUGGAC
This is a long non-coding RNA of Peromyscus eremicus (cactus mouse), 1039 nucleotides long. RefSeq lists it as uncharacterized. Lineage: Eukaryota; Metazoa; Chordata; Mammalia; Rodentia; Cricetidae. The record is from RefSeq and is a predicted model, not a curated record. The transcript has 4 exons.